Molecule: ribosomal RNA, 401 nt
Filed under: uncultured microorganism
Description: bacterial SSU rRNA
Rfam family: Archaeal small subunit ribosomal RNA
Source: RNAcentral
GUGCAGCAGGCGAGAAUACUUUACAAUGUGCGAAAGCACGAUAAGGGAACUCUGAGUGCCUCCUAAGGAGGCUGUUCAGGUGUCUAAAAAGCACCUGGAGUAAGGGCUGGGUAAGACCGGUGCCAGCCGCCGCGGUAACACCGGCAGCCCAGGUGGUAGCCACUUUUAUUGGGUCUAAAGCGUCCGUAGCCGGUUGAGUAAGUUCCUUGGGAAAUUUGGCUGCUCAACAGUCAAGCUUCCAGGGAAUACUGCUCGACUUGGGACUGGGAGAGGUCAGAGGUACUCCAGGGGUAGGGGUGAAAAUCCAUUAAUCCCUGGGGGACCACCGGUAGCGAAGGCGUCUGACCAGACCAGGUCCGACGGUGAGGGACGAAGGCUAGGGGCGCGAACCGGAUUAGAUA